CUUAACCCACUGAGCAGCAAGUCUUGCUGCCGUAUACACCAACUGUUCCAGUAUGUUCUUUUUCUACAAUACAUUGCAAAGCAGCUGUUUCUGGAAAGUCGGCUCGGGUCCUGCUAGCUCCACCUUGAGAACACUGGGAGUAUGGGCUUACAGCAGAAGAGGAAAGUGGUGAGGUCACCAGCCGAGGAGUGGAUGGGGAGAAGAGAGAACGGAAACUCAUUGAGAAAUACAUUGUGUCAGCUGGGAAACCGGACAGGGUCAUUGGCCACCAGGCCACGAGGACAAAGGGAGCAGAAUCGAUGAACAGGAUUUCAGAUGGCCGGAAAAGAAAAAAGGCAGGAAGUAACACAACAAGCUCAGAAGAAAGUCUCGCCAACAGAUGGAAUGAAAUGGAAGAGAAAAUGUCAAGUCUUGAAGACAAAGUAGAAAAAUGGAUCGAUCAUCCAAAGACUAUGUGAACUAUAAAUUAAAAAUCUAGGCAUUCAGGGAAUCUGGGACAGUAUGAAGAGACCAAAUCUAUGAAUAAUUGAUAUAGAGGAAGGAGAAGAAACUCAAGUGAAAGCCACAGAAAAUAUCUUUUAACAAAAAUCAUAGAAUAAAAAAUUUCAAAUCUA
Molecule: long non-coding RNA, 614 nt
Filed under: Mus musculus (house mouse)
Lineage: Eukaryota; Metazoa; Chordata; Mammalia; Rodentia; Muridae
Description: RIKEN cDNA 0610043K17 gene
Source: RNAcentral